RNAcentral lists this ribosomal RNA (492 nucleotides) under uncultured bacterium. RNAcentral's name for it is "partial 16S ribosomal RNA". It matches the Rfam family "Bacterial small subunit ribosomal RNA", at positions 30 to 507 of the family's 1533-position model. The record is from RNAcentral.
AGUGAACGCUGGCGGUAGGCCUAACACAUGCAAGUCGAACGGCAGCACAGUAAGAGCUUGCUCUUACGGGUGGCGAGUGGCGGACGGGUGAGGAAUACAUCGGAAUCUACUUUUUCGUGGGGGAUAACGUAGGGAAACUUACGCUAAUACCGCAUACGACCUACGGGUGAAAGCAGGGGAUCUUCGGACCUUGCGCGAUUGAAUGAGCCGAUGUCGGAUUAGCUAGUUGGCGGGGUAAAGGCCCACCAAGGCGACGAUCCGUAGCUGGUCUGAGAGGAUGAGCGGCCACCUUGGAACGGCGACACGGUGCAGACGCCUACGGGAAGCAGCAGUGGGGAGUAUGUGACAAGGGUCGCAAGGCUGAACCAGCCGUAGCGCGGAGGGGAAUAAGGCCUGCUGGUGCUAAAGCCCUGGUGUGGGAAAAAAAAAGAAGCAGGUUGAGACCACGCUGUCCUGAGGGUAGCCAAAAAAGAGGCACGGGCUAACUUCGUG